RNAcentral lists this ribosomal RNA (1173 nucleotides) under uncultured fungus. RNAcentral's name for it is "eukaryotic LSU rRNA". The stretch from base 549 to 1173 matches the Rfam family "Eukaryotic large subunit ribosomal RNA", at positions 1 to 649 of the family's 3401-position model. Lineage: Eukaryota; Fungi. The record is from RNAcentral.
AAGUCGUAACAAGGUCUCCGUUGGUGAACCAGCGGAGGGAUCAUUACAGAGUUUACAACUCCCAAACCCAAAUGUGAACAUACCAAUCGUUGCUUCGGCGGACUCGUCCCGGCGUCCGGGUGGCCUUGUGCUGCCCGCGGCCCGGAUCCAGGCGGCCGCCGGAGACCAUCAAACCCUUUGUAUUAUACGUAUCAUCUGAAUCCGCCGCAAGGCAAAACAAAUGAAUCAAAACUUUCAACAACGGAUCUCUUGGUUCUGGCAUCGAUGAAGAACGCAGCGAAAUGCGAUAAGUAAUGUGAAUUGCAGAAUUCAGUGAAUCAUCGAAUCUUUGAACGCACAUUGCGCCCGCCAGCAUUCUGGCGGGCAUGCCUGUUCGAGCGUCAUUUCAACCCUCGAGCUCCCUUUGGGGAGCCCGGCGUUGGGGACCGGCAGCUACCGCCGACCCCGAAAUACAGUGGCGGCCCGUCACGGCGACCUCUGCGUAGUAAUCCAACCUCGCACCGGGAACCCGACGCGGCCACGCCGUAAAACACCCCAAUUCUGAACGUUGACCUCGGAUCAGGUAGGAAUACCCGCUGAACUUAAGCAUAUCAAUAAGCGGAGGAAAAGAAACCAACAGGGAUUGCCCCAGUAACGGCGAGUGAAGCGGCAACAGCUCAAAUUUGAAAUCUGGUCCCCAGGGCCCGAGUUGUAAUUUGUAGAGGAUGCUUUUGGCAAGGUGCCUUCCGAGUUCCCUGGAACGGGACGCCAUAGAGGGUGAGAGCCCCGUCUGGUCGGACACCAAGCCUCUGUAAAGCUCCUUCGACGAGUCGAGUAGUUUGGGAAUGCUGCUCAAAAUGGGAGGUAUAUGUCUUCUAAAGCUAAAUAUAGGCCAGAGACCGAUAGCGCACAAGUAGAGUGAUCGAAAGAUGAAAAGCACUUUGAAAAGAGGGUUAAAAAGUACGUGAAAUUGUUGAAAGGGAAGCGCCUAUGACCAGACUUGAGCCCGGUGAAUCAUCCAGCGUUCUCGCUGGUGCACUUUGCCGGGCACAGGCCAGCAUCAGUUUGGCGCGGGGGAAAAAGGCUUUGGGAAUGUGGCUCCCUCGGGAGUGUUAUAGCCCAUUGCGUAAUACCCUGCACCGGACUGAGGUACGCGCAUUCGCAAGGAUGCUGGCGUAAUGGUCACCAGCGACC